GACGAACGCUGGCGGCGUGCUUAACACAUGCAAGUCGAGCGGUAAGGCCUUUCGGGGUACACGAGCGGCGAACGGGUGAGUAACACGUGGGUGAUCUGCCCUGCACUUCGGGAUAAGCCUGGGAAACUGGGUCUAAUACCGGAUAUGACCUCCUAUCGCAUGGUGGGUGGUGGAAAGAUUUAUCGGUGCAGGAUGGGCCCGCGGCCUAUCAGCUUGUUGGUGGGGUAAUGGCCUACCAAGGCGACGACGGGUAGCCGACCUGAGAGGGUGACCGGCCACACUGGGACUGAGACACGGCCCAGACUCCUACGGGAGGCAGCAGUGGGGAAUAUUGCACAAUGGGCGAAAGCCUGAUGCAGAGACGCCGCGUGAGGGAUGACGGCCUUCGGGUUGUAAACCUCUUUCAGCAGGGACGAAGCGCAAGUGACGGUACCUGCAGAAGAAGCACCGGCUAACUACGUG
RNAcentral lists this ribosomal RNA (462 nucleotides) under uncultured bacterium. Its description in RNAcentral is "partial 16S ribosomal RNA". It matches the Rfam family "Bacterial small subunit ribosomal RNA", at positions 28 to 507 of the family's 1533-position model. The record is from RNAcentral.